UAGGAUCCUUGAGCUGUUGCAGAGGCAGCCAACUGCUCCAUAUUUGGCUUCUAUUACCCAUUUACAUGCUGGAGAGCGGAGAGGGAGCGAGCGCUGUACCGCAGACAUCAUUUCUACUACAGUGGUGGAGACAUCCCGGACCUGUGUCACUGCAGGGGGAAGGAAAAAAGCCAAACAAACAAAAAGCAGACCCAAGCCCCGUGAUCAGCUAGGAAGACAUUUGUGUGCGAGUCUCUUUCUGACCCCCCCGCCCCCGCCAACCCCACCUCCACUGACACUUUACAUCACAUUGCAGGCCAAGCCAGAUGGGCAAGCAAUACAAGCUGUGAAUUUAUUCUUGACCCCGUAGGACAGUGACCACCAUCAUUUCUUUCUUCACCGUACAGUUAUGCACUGCCAAUAAGUGAAAAGGUCAAGAAAAGCAGUAGCUCAGUGGCUGAAUUUUUCUGAAGUGCUUUACAGCAGGGAAAGUGGGGAAACCUCUUAAAGUGGUGUCUUAUUCAAUCCUGGAGCACAGGGAAAGAGUUUUAAUGCAAAAUACCAGAAAAAAAAGUCUGCAACAUCUCCUGUGAGAGGAGAGAGAAAAGGAGAUUAACAAUUGCAUCUUGAAACACUCAUGAUUUGAGGCCAUAUGUGUCCUUUGAACUCUGAAGAAGCUGUGCCAAAAGGAAGCCUUCUUCUCCUCCCCUCCUCCCAUCGUGGAGCCGCUCUUAGAUAAUUGCAAUUAGUAGACAAUGCGGAGCGAACCCAAAUGUGAAGUCCACGGCUCUACCUUACUUUAUUUGAAAGAGGAAAGCCAGUGAGGACCUGUGAACAAUCCAGCAGCUUCUGAAAAAUCUUCAUGCUAAAGGAUAAUCCAGAAUUCCCUGAAGAGGAACAAAGUGAAUGUUGUGAGUUCCUAGCAGUGAUAACAAAUACUUCCAAUUGUGUCCUUUGGGAGGUAGUAUCUGCCCUGUAGUGUUUUGUCUCUUCCCUGUGAUGCACUGAGCACCAAAGACUUUAAUUUCUCUCCCUCUUGAUUUUUUUUUUCUUUUAAUAGGUUUAAGGGAAGACUAGUAUUAUCUAAGGAAAGGUGGUGGGUUUCUUUUCCUUGGACUGCUACAGUUAUUUGUCAUACUGCUAUUGCUUUUUAGUUAAAUAUGUGAGCCUGCAUUGGAAGGCCAUGUGACUGUGUAGCCUAACAAGAAUGAAAAAUGCAAUGGAUAACAGUCCAUGAGUCUGCAGGUCAGAUUCAGGAGUUUUAUGCAUGCUUGCACAAUGGUUGAAAUUAUUUGACCACUUUCAAAUUAGAGGAAUGCAAAUGUAAUUAUUUCUGUAGUUACUUCUGGUAUUCCAAACUCCUGAUGGUCAGUUUUUUAUAUGUGAGUAUUUCCAGUACAAAUGCUCCUCUCAGAGGUUUGUGUUCAUGGGAACUGGAGUAGCACACCUUUCCAAGGGAAACACAGUCACUCAACUGAGACCUUGAUUCAGCUGCGGUAUUAAUAAAAAAAAAAAGUUCCCAUGAGGGAUGGUUAAAAAGAAAGCAUGAAUAUUUUUAUGUUCAUUGUUUUUUCUUAUGAAGCCCACCGCUUUUCUGGGUUGAAAUGGGCAAACAUGCAGAUCAAAUGUAAACAUUCUCACAAAAAGAGGAAAACAAGAGUUCUCUGCCUGCCAGAUUUUAGAAUAAUCCUUAUUUUUUUCUUAAGAAAGAACCAUGGGGAUUUCCAAAUUAGGCAAGUUAGUAUUUAAUUCUUAUGCCCAGAGUAUGCAGCAGUCCUUCAAGAUGUUAGUAGUGACAAAACACGCUGCACAUUCUUCCAGUUGCAGCAAACUAUUUUGUGCACUUUCCAUUAAUGUAGUAAAUAUAAAUAUAUUUCCUGGCAUGCCUUCUAGCUCCCUCAGAGUGGGAUGCCCUUCUUUGCUCUGCUUUUCCCUUUGGGUUCAGGCUUCGGGAAGCAGAUUGAGACAGAGACAGUCUAAGUGUUGCUGCUUUCCCAAGAACCAGUUGCAAAAUAAAUAUUAGAGAAGACACUGAAAAUUUUUUGUCAUCUCUUGCCAUUCCCACCUCUUUUGUUCCACAGUGAAAUAGUUAACAAAGGCAACAUCUGGAGUUUUUACUUUCUGGUUACCACUAAGCUGCCAAGUUAGUAGCUUAUUAAGAUGAAUAGGGGGCCUCUGAGAUGUGGAGCUUCUCACUGUCCAUGUACCCAAGCAGGCGUGGCCAUAUCAGCUAAUUCCCACACUUCGAAGGGCUCCUUUAUAACCACAAGAACUCACUUUGCAUGCUGGCAUCCAAGAACAGGAGAGGACAGCCUUAAAUAAUAAUAAUAACAAUAAUAAACAACCCCAACCAUCCUAGCAGGCAGAGCUGUUGGGAUAACAAGAGAUGUUUGUUUAAGAUGUUGCAAUCACCUCCAGUGAUUGCAACAGCAGCACCACCUCACAUGAAGGAGAGCAUCCCCUGGGUCCUUUAAGGUAUGUGGCAUGCCAGAUCAGCCAGGUAAACUGAAAGAGGCAAUCGUCAGCCAUUGCAGGGGAUGGAAUAUCUGUUGAAGAUGCUGUCAGUGUGAUCAUUACAUUCUGCCCUGUCCUAAACGGUUUAAAAUCAGCCCUCUUAAAGCACAGUGUGAUGUUCUGCUAUUGUGGUGCCAAAACCCUGAUUAUACUUAGGAGGCCUGGGUUAGUGCAGAAAAAGCAGCGCUCUUCUCACCAGGUAUGGAUGGGAAAAAGUGUUCUUGAGAAUUGCUCUUACUCUGGCAUCCAGGACUAGUUCCUUUUGAGGAAUCAUUUGUAGAUGAUGGAGAGAUUUUUAGCAGUUCCUUGAGAGUGUAUUUCAUCACCUGGCUUCUGCUUGGAGGACACUGCUGCAAGAAGGAGGCAGUCAGCUAGGCUCCUGCUCGCCUCUUUCCUUUAACUUCUUAGGGAGACAAGAAUACCAGAGUGAGGAGGUACAGUGUUUCUCCUGAAAGGAAAUACUGGCAUACAGUGAAUUUACUGAAAAAUAUUGCUCUCUCUUCCCCUUUUGCAGGGUGUAGUCGUGUUAAGAUGUGAGGAAAAUGAUCAAACCUUUCCCACUGCAAGUGGUAGCUGUUCUCUUCUCUUCUGCUGCCUCCUUCUGCCACCCAGACAAAUUUCAGAGGAAGGGGGGUGUGAGGAGGGAGGGGUACAGUAAAUUGACACCAGUGUCUUGUAUCCACCUAGAAACUGCCUGUUUACUAAACAGUACAAAUUUCUCGCUUCCUUUUCCCUUCUCUCUUCAUUUGGAUGAAAUGCAUUUCUGGAAUAGCAGUGCUUGUACAAAUCAAGUCCAUAUUCCACUUCUGGGGAGAGAAAAAGGGAUGUCAGGAGGGUUCAUUAAGGAGGAGCAUUUCUUUUAGCAAGGGUAAGAAAAUGAAGCAAGACAAGGCUCCUUUGCUCUUGCCGGAGGGUACCUUGUGUAUUCCAACGUACAGUUUUGUAAUUUUCUGGUAGGAUGUAGGUAUCCUGAGGUUUUUUUUUUUCCCAUCCUGAAAACAUAUGCCACAGCUUUUUUGGAGUGCUAGCCACACAAACACAAACACAUUCUAACAGAAGCAAUGAAUAAACUCUUCAUGUUCCUCAUCACAGGCAUUUCUUCACAUUACUUUUUUUCUGUGCUUGUGAAAAAACCUCUGGCACGGUUUGUGGGAAAUGGAAAAUAAAUCUCUAAAUCCAGUAUGUGUCAAUAACAGAAAUGUGCUCAGUUGAUCUCAUAUCUAUAACUGUUAUUUUGGGCAAACUGCAGAUGGUAGGAUAGUAAACAUCCCCACUUCUAGCCCAGACAGGCUUUCUAUGCCCUGCCUUCAGCGCGGAACCUGCCGCUGUAAGGGCUGACUCUGAAGAGGGUCCCAGGGGAUCAUGGUUGCACAUGGCUUAGCCCCAUUCGCAUCCCAUUUUUGAGCUGCUGCCUUCUUUUUUUGUUCCUUGGCCCUCCUUGCUUCCUUUACCCUGGGUCCUAUCUCCCAUGUACUCCCCCCCUGGCUGCCGGCUGUUUUUCCUGGCACGUGAAGCUGCGACGGGUCUGGGAGCGACAGCUCCUGGAGCUGAUGUCAGUGCUGCUUCCUGAGCUGCCUGGCCAGGCUGGCUGCAGCCCAGGCACACCCUCUCCCCAGAGCAUCACCUUCUCAGCCUGCCCAUCCUCCUGCUGCAGCAGCCCCUCAGGGAGGAGGCUUGUGCAAGUGAUGGAAAUUGAAGGCUAGUGAGCCUUUCAUGGCAGUUUUCUGUGAGCGGCCAUCUCCCACGCCUGGAACCAGGUUUGUGGCGUGGUUGGAAGUGAUGCCUGGUUUCUGUUCUGAGCUGUACACACCUUGGAAGAGCUACGGGAAGCUUUGACACAUGCAGACUUAAUGAUUCUGGAUCUCUCUGCUUUUGUGUCGCUUUGGUAUCCGUAUGCUAAAUCACCCCAUGGUUGUCUAUGGAAAUUACCAGGCUGCUGAGAAAAGAGCAGAGCUGCAUGUGUCCGUUCUUCCAAACAACAGCCCAGUACAUGCUACUUGGUAUUUAUAGUGAGAGCGAAAAAGGGAAGAAUCACUUUAAUUUGAGAAAUGUCUCUCAGAAGCAGCAGUAAUUUAUUCCUAGGCAUUAUUCUUCAUUAAGAGCUACAGACAGCUGCAGCUUCCCUUUAAAUAGAAAUUGCUCUCCGCAGGCAUGCUAUACAUAGGGCUUCAGGUUUCUGCCAUUUCUCUGCCAAAAAAUCAGAAGUAUUUCUCACCAAAUAAAUGUUUAUUCAGAAAGUCAUAUUUCCUGGCUUUUAUUUCACGUCACAGGCUUCCGGCAGCCAGGCGAGAACAGCUCAAGGCUGUCGUUUGGGAGAGGAAGCUGAAACAGUUUGAGUCUCUUGUGGGGCUUCAAAAAAAGUCUCUGACCAUAACUCUGGGCCUUCAGUUUGGCAGUUUACUUUAGCUGUUGAACAUUGGAUUAAAAUGGAUGCUACAGAAAUCCUGCAGGGCAAGUGUGCCUGUGAAGAUGCAAUGUGAGUGGUGGUGGUGGGCGUUUCUAUGCAUCAGGUCAGCUCUCCCCCUCUCUUGGCCUUGAAGCCACAGCCAUCCUCAGACUGCAUGGGUGGCAAACUGGCUUUGGCAGCUGGCAGCAGCUGAGCGGUUUUGUUGUUGGGGGAUCCCCUGUAUGAUCAGUGUAUGGACACCUAGGGACAGCAGGCGAGAGCUGGGCCACACCUGCUUGCACCUGCUGCCCAGCAGAGAGGUGGCUAGGGUGGUUUCAAGUACUGCAGUGGGACGUGCAACGAUGAAGCUGUAAGCCACCAGUGCUCCAGAAGACCAAAUACCUCUUUUAUGCACAUCUGUGCAGCUUCCUUGGAUUUAUCUUUCUCUUCUCCACAUUCCUGCUGGCUGGCUCUUCAACUAAUGAUUUUCUAAGCUGCCUUUUUCUCACUGUCUUUUCCAGCCUGAACUGCUGAGCUUCCUCUUUUGUCUCCAGGGCUUAUCUGCUGGACCCACAUUUUCCAUUAGUGUGAUACCACCCACCACUCCAGUAGAUCACUUUGCUGUUGUAGCCGCCCCAGCUGGUUGUCUUUUGUCUUCCGUGGCUAUGGUGUUCCUGUCAAUACAUGAUGUUUUCCUUCUCCAUAUCUCCUCCCAGUUCUCCCUGCAAUCCUUAAUUUAUGGUUUAUAGUAUGCAAUCCAUAUAUUAAAAUAAUUUUUAGUUAGGUCAUUCGUUACUCUCUUGCUUUCUUCCUGUCCAGUAUAGGUUCCAGAGAAGUGAGAAGCUGUAAUUUCUCCAGGGCUAAAAUCCAAGUCUUUGAUAGGCAGGCAUGAUGCCUGAGGCCACUACAUGUUGCUACUUGUUGUCAGCUUUGUAAAACUUACCCUGCAGAGCAAAGAAAUCUGGGCACAAAGAUUGUUCUCUUCUCUACCGUGGCAAGCUGUAGUUUCCCAGUCUGUUCUGCCUUCUCUUCAUUGUCUUACAAGCAAAUGGCUGUAAGAUUAUGACUCCCAUGUUUGGACUGGGAACAGCUUUUGUCUGAGCAAACAGAUUUCUCUUUGGCAGUCACUUUAACUGCUGCCCCAGCUUUUUGCUGUCAGCUUUGUUUCAUGAUUUGGCAUUAGAGAAGUCCAGGCAGUCCUAGUGCACAGUGCAUUGGAGUGAGUAAAUGCAGCAAGGCAGGCAGGUGAGUUAUGCCUUUGUUAAUGAUCACAAUACCAGUGUGGUCCAUGAGACCACGAAAAGCAUCUCCUGUAGUUCAGCAGUGUAGUUUUUGGUUCCUUAUCUUUAACUUGGUGGUGCCAGCUGGAGAAAUUUCUGAUCCUUGUUGGCAACUCUGCUUGGUCCAAGAGGCUUCCAGUGAAACCAAGAAGAAGCAUUGGGAACCAAGCCUAGCCUUCACAGGUUAUAGCAUGGCAUGAAAGCUGCCCUACUAUUUGCAGGUUGUUUCUGGGGUGAAGCUGAUCAAAACACAGGUGUCUCAUGCCUGUGAGAAUUUCUUUCCGCUUUUCUUAGGCUUCUUGUGUUUCACUGCUGCUUUCUUGUGCUGCUGUUAUAGUUAGCAUUGCUUGUGAGCUGGUUUGCUGCACCCAUGAUGACCCUAACAGUAUCUCAUAACCUGCCAAUGCUUCUCUCAAUGCUGAUAAUGUUUGUGGCAGCAGCAGCAGCAAGAAGAGAAUAUAAAUUAAGCUCUCCUAGAGAGGAAUUUUUUCCCAUUUUCUGUUUGGAGCAUGCAUUCAAAAGGAAGGGCUGCUGAUAGUGGUAGGUUAGUUAAGAGGAAUCAUGAGUCCUUUCUAGCAGAAUAUUAUUCUGAACAACUUGUUCAUUCAUAUUUAUUUCAGGUUUGUUUGCAGCCUUCUAGGCAUGUUGACCAUGGAUGCGUAUUUUGGGAAGGAGUAUCAGAUACUUUUAUUCAAACUGGCUGUAUUGAUGCUAUCAGGUUUCCUUCUCAGUGAGUUUUAUGUUUCUUGUUGUUAAUCAGCUUUGCUGCUUCCAGCUACAGACACUGAUGAAUGUUUCAGAGGCACCUGAUGGCACAAAGGUCAAGAGGAAGAAGAUAAGCAAGUUGACAGGAUUGCCUUUAGCUUCUUUUACUGUUGAGGUGUCAGAACUAGAGACAGACCAAGCAAACUGGAGAUGCUGAUUUUUUUAUUUUUAAUGAGUUUUCUUGGCAGCUUUUUAAAUAAAAGAAAACCCCUCCCUUCUGUGGCAAAUAACGUUUAUUGCAGUAGUGCAACUUAUUACCUAGCUAUUGCACUAGUAACAGAAGAAAUCUGUUUGGGGGGUAAGGGCUCCAUGAGAUGAGGGGAGGAACAUUAAUUGUGGUUUUCUGUGCCAGGCAACCUUCAGUCAGAAUUGGGGUGGUGAUUUAUAAAUUCCCUUUGUCUCACUUCCAACGUUUGGACUGCAAUGAAUCCUGCUAAAACAUUACAAAAGCUGUGUCAGUUGAAAGAAGCUGGGCAAAAUGUGGGUCGGCUUCCCGGACAGGAGUACGUUUGUAAACAGAGCUGUGGAGGUUCCUUGCAACAGAAUUGUUCUUAAUGGAGGCAGUGGGCAAAAUGUGCUUUAAGCCUUCAGCUCCCAGGAGUUUGUGUCUCUGACAGAUAAAACUUGUCUUCUCAACAGCUUGAUUUAUCAUUUCUGGUGUAAAUAGCUGGCAAAAAGAAACUUCAGGUAACAUGAACCUCUGGUGAAGUAAAAGGGAGUUUGACACUCAGGAUGGAGCAACAGGAAGAGUACUAGAGGAGUGACACUUUUCAUAUUCACAGUUAAAAUGUUUUAAAAUGUUAAAAUGCUUUGGGCUUAUUUUAUGUUGUUUGAAAGGAGUUUUGGGGUUUUUUUUGUUUUGGUUUGUUUUGGUUUUUUUUUUAGUAAAGCUGUGUUCUGCAAGUGACUUUGUUAAAGAGUCAGAUUCUUAUGAGGAAAAGAGACAAAAUGAUGUCUCUUUGUACUCAAUCAUGUACUGCUGUCUUUUGAAGUGGGAAGGUCCUCGUAACAUAUUUCUGAGUUAAGACAUGUCUGUUAAUUCCACAGUGCAAAUCACCAGGAUUCUUUUUACUUUUACCAGAACCAUUAAAACAUUUGUAUAACUAUCUUUAUUCAACCCGAGGGAUAGCCUGCAGAGCCAUCAAGGAGAUAUAAGUACAAGCACUUCCUUCUUGUUAUCAUUGACCAGUCAAACCAGUUCAGCUGAAGGGAUUUGGCUGAGUAAGCAGUCCUGCUGCUCAUCAUGGCAUCCGUAGAAAGGGCUGUAGAGCUUUAUAUGUCUUCAUUAUAGGAUGAAGUCUCUUCUUAAAUUAAAUGAAGCUGUCAGGCUUCAUUAGCUCCGGAUUUUCUUGUUGUUAUUAUUCUAAUGUAAUUAUCACUUUUCUUCAGUCAGCCUUCUGCUUGCCUACUUCCAAAUAAACUCUUUCCAUCUGGAGAGUAUUUUGAGAUGGGGAAGGUAUAGUGAAGUAGUGAAACUAUUCUCAGCCUUGUGUUCUCCCUCUCCUUUUCAACUACCUAGAAUGCUAUACAAGGAAAUAGAAAUAAACAAAUACACAACAACCAUAAGAGGAUCCUCUUCCCUCAAAAAAAGAUCAUACAAAGGAAGGCUAUAGAGUAUCUGUCUAAGCACGUGCAAUGGGAGAAAGUGUCAUAUGUUGAUAUAUAAGAUCCCUGCAGUUCUUUGUUUCAAAAAAGCAGCAUUAAGAACCGAGGAGUCACCCCACUCUGCUCUCAUAUGACAAGACACAUUGCUUCAGCAGUAAGUAGUUCUUGGGUAUAAUGAAAUACCUGCUGACUGCAGGGAGUAAGAAAGUCUCAGUCACGACGGGUACAUCUAUUUCUGCAUCCAAGCCCUGUGCAGAGAUUCCCAAGCUGACAAGGUGCUUUGCUCAGGCUAAUUAGCCCUGCUUCUCUCCUUACAUAUUCUCUGGUUAUGCUAAUUAGACUGAGCGGGGUGCUGCUGGUGAGAGUCCAACAAGUGUGUCUGUACAGCCUUGCCCUGCAGUGUACCCUCUGAGUGCCUGAGCCCGCUUGGCACACAGGCACCAGUCUGUGCCAGCGGCUGUGCAGCCAGCACAGGUACUGCCUGCAGUUUUACUGUACGUGCUGUCAAGCAUCACUCAGCCUUGGGUGGCUUGCUGGGACUGCAGUGAAGGGAAUAAGUGGUAGGGAAUAUCUUGAGCAGCUCAUAGCCUGUAACCUCAUUGCUCUCAGAAAAAUCACAUCCUGCUGGGUGUUUUGGUCCCAUUCAUUCUGUUUCAUGUGAAUGACUUUCCUGGUUCUGGAGGUGGUGCUCUGGAGCCCUGAGGGAGAUGGGGGCAUUGUGUGAGGGGACAGAAGUACAAAGGCAGACAACCAAAAACGGUGAAACUGAGGAAUAACAGUGUGAAAAACUUAGACUUUUCAUUCUGUUUGUAUGUGCAGGACUGACAGGAAAAUGGGCUGGCAUGUUGAAUUAGGUCGUGAAACCUUGCUAAUUAGCUGUUCUUUUCCUCCUUCACCUCUCCCUUCUUCCUUCCCAGGUGGGGUUCUUGCAGAAUGCAAGGAGUGCAGGGAUAGGUGACUUUCAUAAUUCAGUGUUUUAACAUUCAAUUCCAGCUAAGUUUUCUAUAAAACAUUUUUUCAAAGACAUCGAGUAAGCUUACAGAAGACAGAUUUUAGAAGAAACAAUCAAAGAAGACCUUGACAAUCCCAAAAUGACUACAAAUAAAACUGUUUUCACUCAUUAUAGUAGAAGUGGCUUUUUUACUCCCUGACUGUUCUUCCUCUGACUGGCACUUUCCUGGGAGAUGCGGUUGAGAACAAAUGCGUGUGUAUACACACACGUAUGCCUAUCUAUAUAUACAUUGAUCUGAGUGAGCCUGGGAAUGGAAAAGCAAGUGCAAAAACAUAUGCUGGGUUUGGCAAGUUGGUCCUUUUAGUUGCACAGUUUCCUGAUUUACUUUAUUUAAAAGGUGCGUUAAUGUUCUGUGUGUGAUGUUCUGAAGUGUGAUCAGAAGUUGGAUCUCGUCAAAAGAUGGAUGUUCAUGUUUCAUUCCAUCUUGUGAAAUAGUAGUCCUCAAAAUACCACGUCAAGCCACAAAUAAAUAGCUGUGCUGUAUUAUUUUGGGGAGUUGCAGUUUCUGAGACAGUCAGUAUGAUCUCAACCAUUAAGUGAGUAGAAAGUGUUUUGAAAAACUAGAAAGAGCUUCGUUGACUGCAAUGGCUGGGUCAGAGCUGAAAAGGAAGAGUUUGCUGUUUUAAAGCAUAGCAGACAUUUUAGACGUUCUUACCAGGAUGCUUCAGUAACACAGUUGUGUGAAAGACUGAUAAGGGAAUGUGCGAUGGCAGCCCUCAUCAUUUAAAGUGCCCAAACUUGGCACAUUCUGUGGCAACGUAAAAUAGCAAUAAAUAUAAAUCUCAUGUUCUGGAAUUCCCGGGUCUCCUUAUUAGCAGAUCAGUGUGUAAACACUGGCUCAGUGUGUCUAGUACUAGAGGGAUGUGUUUUGUUCCUGCAAACAGAUGUGUGCUGGCUCUGCACCCCCUGGCGCAUGUAUAAGACACAGUAGAUUCAGAAUGAGCUGUACUCCACAUUUUCUAGAGGAAGUCUGUUUUGUAUAAACCACACAUGAAAUCAGUGUGUACAUAAUUUUUCACUGCUGUGCAGGUAUUUUACCAGUUUUAAAUCAUGACUUAGUUACUGGUUUCAGUUGAGCUGCCUAGUAAGAGCUUGCCAGGAGCAUCGUGACAGUACAACUCAAUCAGAAUUCCAGAUUUAAUGCUGCUCCUUGGUCAGGUUGGGACUGGCAGUUUUCAUUUUGCUCCCAGUUCUGUGCCAAUUAAAUGCAUAAAAAUUGUUAGAAAGAGCAGGAAAAGCUUUGUUCACUGAAAUGACUGCACUGAAAUUAGAAGUGGGGAGCAGCAGGAGGAAGAGCACUGGACUACCAGUGGCUGGGGACGAAUGCCAGUGUUUGCACCCCGUGCCCUCCAUUGUGAAGACCUGAAGUAGCUGUUUUUUCUCUUACAAGCUUGAGCCCUGAGCCUGCUCGUUAACUUCUGCAUUCCUUUAAGGCUGCCUGGCAUGUCAGGGCUGGAGCCUUGAAGCAGUAGGGAAUGGUGUUUAUCCUUGGUCAAAGAGGGAAACCACCAUGCCAACACAAACCUGCUUGUCUGAUGAGACCAGUGCUAAAGGUAAUAUGUAAAGCACUGGUGAUUGCUUCUUUGGGAAAGCAAUUGGAAGUAGGAUAAAUGGUCCUUAAUUUAAUUAUGAUUGGCAUUUCAAGGCUUAUGACAAUGUACUUAAGCUCAAUGAAGGCAUUUCUAUUUACAUGUUCCUUCAGGACUUCAAAUUGUUGCAAAGAGCACAGCAAACUUUGAUUGUGGUUGUGCAAAGCUGGCAUUAUCGGUGUAGCUGAAACUCAAAUGACACUCAGAUGGGUUCUGUCUCAGUGCCUGUAUUGUGCUGGAAAACCCGAGUGAUUUGGUUUAGAAAUGAUUUGUCAUACUAAAGUGUCUCUUCUUGGUUCUAUGGGGUUUUUUUGUAGUUUCCAUUUCUGUUUUGGCGAAGAUGGUGUGGGGGAUGAGGAGUUGCAGAUUGAUGAUUGUUUGUCUGUAAACCAUCUUACUGGAACAGAGCAUGUAGGAGGCUUUCUCAUGGCUCUUAGUCAGACCACUGCCUUAUCUAAACAGUGUGUGACCCUCCAAGAUGCUGCGUGUGGCUCUAACCCAGCCUACCUGCCUGAUCAGAGUGGAUAUGGACAUGUUUGUAGCAGAGUGAGAGGAGCAUUCAUUUGGGGAACUGUUCUCAUGUGUUCUUAAGUCUUUCUGACUGAGUCCUUUCACUUGAUUGAUUUUAAUCCAGUUCAAAGGUGGUCCAGGAAGUAGAAUUUGAUACCUCAAUAGAGGAGGUUAUAAAAUGAGGGCAAGGCUGUGUCCUGACAUCACAACACGGUACUUCUUUUGACACUGCAUUAAUAUGCAGUAACUUGUAGUGGUAGCAAUGCAGUGACUCAAAACAAACACUGCAAAACCUUUCAUCUCAGACCGCGGUUGUCACUAGAAAUGCAAUUGCCUAUGAGGACCAUUAGUCUUAAGACUAGUCAUAGCACUAGUGUGGGACAGUUUAUGGAAUACAGUUUGAGGCAUUUCCUGCCCACGGAUGUCAGACAGGCUGACAGCAGGUAGGAGACUGAUGGCAGAGAUCAAGACUUGCUGGGCAUUACUUGACUCCAAUUUUAUCAUGGAAUAGGGAAGAAAAUGUAUCCUUGAUCUUUACCUGAAAACAGUAAGAAAGGAGGAAAUACAGAGAAAGAUAUGCAAUUAGAGAAAUAAACCAACUAUUCAUGCUGCACUUCCCUAUCAUUUUUCUUGCAGUAAAAAGUUGACUCAAUAAUUCCUGUCUUCUUAUUUUCUAAUUGUUUUAAAAUUCAUCUUACAGUGAUAGGAACAUUCUUCCCUUUGUAAGAAUUAAUUUUGAUAUAAAGAAAUUGAAACUUAAGGGAUAAAAUAAGAUACUUUUUUCAUAAAUAAGGAAUCAUUUAAAUUAUUCUUGAGCAACUUCCAGUUGCUUUAUUUUUUUACAUGCAAAGAGAACAAAGGAAAAUGGUAGAAAUUCAGCUUUGGUAAAGUUUGGUUUAAUAGUGCUAUGAUGGCUGAAUUUGAAGAGCAGAGGAAACAUAGGUUUUUCAAGAGCGGGGGCCCCAGGAGUUUGAGAAGACACCCAGUCAGAAAGCUGGGGUUUCAAAUCCUAUCUUCUCUCUUGUUCAGUCUUCUUUGAGAUACUCCUUUGGUUCUUAAUUUAAGCACGCAGUUUAGUCUUACAUUAGCUUUUCAUUAAAAGCAUCUACAGUUCAAGUGCACUGAAUCUGUUAAAGGCUGGUCUUGCCUUUUGGACAGAGAAUUGCAUUUCAUGGUUUUUAUCAUACCUUUAUAAUUUUUUUUCCUCUGUCCUGUUUUCAAAUGGAAUAGCUAGUGUUUAGAUACUAAUAUAUUAACUCCAGCAGCCCUUUCCUCCUGUGCAGGAUGUGGUUUGGGAUGACUCCCCUGGUGAGGCAGUGACUUGCAGUCAGGAGACACAGUGGCAGAACCAGAAGGAAUAGUUAUCUGAUGGGUGACUUGAGGUGUGUCAUGACCAGUCGGUGCUGCAGCUGUAAAAUGCAGAUAAUUAUACUGAUAUCACUCCUUGGUAAAGCAUUAUGAAAUGUUUUCAUGAGUCUUUCUGCUCAAGAGCCUGGGUGUUUUUAGUUUGGAUUCCAAGGACAUGAGGUGUGUGUGGUGGUGAUGAUGCCUGUCUGUUUGAUUGCCCACCCCCAUUUCCCCCUUGCCUCCCCUCCCUAAACACUGUCUUGGCUAGUUCACACCAAAUCCCACAGGAAGCAAAAGUCUCAAAGACAAUUAAAUUCCUACAAUUAUUUUUUGUUGUUGUAGCUAAAUUCAACAGGCAGGGGAGGUGAGAGGCAUGAGCUACUGUUGACACUGAGAGGAAAGAGACAGCCAAGCUCUGCCCUUGGUAGCUCUCCUUAAUGGUGGCUGGCAGUGAGUCCCACCUCUGCAUCCAGAGGACUGUGGCAUCCCUUGCCCAGGUGCCAGGCCAGCAUGGCAGGAUGGGGAGCAAGGCUGGGCUGUUGAAGGACACCAGAGCAAAGAUGGUGCAAAGGUGGAUAAAUGCAGAGGGAAAGCAGAGCACAAAUCCUACCCUUUGUUCUUUGGGAUGUGUUGUUAGAAGGCUUCUGGCUGAAUUUGCCAUUCAAAAUCUUGGAGGUGUUUUUGUUUCUGGCUGCUUGAAACAUGACUUUCUCAUGUUCCUGGGAUGUUUUCACUCUUCUGUACAAGGCUGGGUUCCUCUGCCACAAGGAGCUCUGAAUCUUUCUGGAUUCUUUCAGAACCCUUGGCAAAGCUCUUGUGCUCUGUCCCCUUCAUGCUGCUCACAUUUAGCUUCUGCAGUGAAUGCAAAUUGAGAGCUGCCCUCUUUCCUUGUAACUGUGCAGCUUCUCCCCAUGUAUACCAAGUGCAAGAGCCCUCCUGUUCUCAUGAAAAAAUUCUCUCUUUGUCAUCAAUAUAAACAUUUAAUGACUGGCAGGCCCUGUUUUCAGUAACUGCUGAGUUUGUCCCUUGCACAGUUGUGUUUGUGCCUCUAGAGCACUGGCCUUUUUCUGCACAAGCCCUCUCACUUAGUUGGCACAGCACUCUGGUUUUGUAUCAUUCUGUACAUUGGAGGCAGCUACAUGGCAGUAGUAAAUUCACAGGGAUGCAAAUUUAUUCUCUCGUUUAGUAACUCAGUGGGGCACAUGUUUAUCUUGUACGCUUGAGUGCUGUUUUUAAAUAAUACUGUAUAUACAAUAGAUAGAUUUAAAGUUGACUAACCAAGGAAACAUCCUCAAGGCUUAAAGAAUAAAUAUGAAAGAUAUGCAAGAGUUGCAGGCUGGUUUUUAGCACUGCUUUGUGUCUGGCAGGCUGACGUACAUGGCUGUAGCAGUUAGAUGUCUCAUUUACGCACCCAGAUAAAGCCAGGGGAGUUUAAAGCAAUCAGAUUAAUCUUGUGUCCUGGAAGAACUAGUUCAUCCUUUGCAAGAGAGAUUUCCAGAUUGUUGGUGGGGUUUUUUUCGUUGUUGUUGUUGUUGUUUUUAAAUAGGGAAUGUUUGCAGAAGCAUCCUUUCACUGGGAAGAGGGGACAGGUAAGCAAGUAGCCAACUGACCACAGGCUCUGUGGCUUCUACAAAGGCAGUUAUAGGAAGACCAAGACCCUUAAGCUACCUUCAUUCAGAUUAGUUGUUUUCAACAAUGUUAGUUUAGGCAGGUUAAGAGUUCAGUUGCUUUUAAAUGGAGAUGCUGUGACCAGGAAGGAACAUGAUUGGAAAAGCAUCAGUCAUGGAAAAAUAACUGUAGCCUAAAGUCAGCUUUCAAGUCUCCAAGUUUUUUUAUUGACUUGAUGGACUUAAGGUUAGGCUUUCAGUAAUGAAAGUCAAGAUCAGACAUGUCUCUGAAAUAAUUUUCAGGGGUUAUUUAAAUGUAACAUACUUCAUUGCCAUUUUAAUAAGAAUCUCUUGAGUUGAACUAACUAUUACUGCUGUGGCUUUAGUAGUCAAAGCCCAUUUUGGCUGGGCAUUUGAGUACAUAAAUGGAACCAAAGGAUGCUCCAAACAAAAGAAGUCAUAAUGUGCAUGUGUAUGUUUGUGUGGAGAAUGGAGGUUUCAGACAAGGUGCAGCUUGGCUUCCAAAUCCACCUAUCUCUGCAGUCAUUUUGGAUGACAGUGGAUAGUAGCCUGGGCUGUUGUACAGUGAACAGACUAAUUAGUCCAGGAAGGGCACCUCUAAAUUCUGGUUGAAAAUCCCAUCUUUGAAUCAAAGGGAAUUUACAGCCUGCAAAUAGUGUCUGAAUCUGUUUCAGAUCUUUGUCUAUUAGCUUGUCUAUUAUUAUUUUUGCUUUAUUUUCAUGUACCUCCUGUUCGCAUUGAAGCAAGAAGUGCAGAAGUCCUAUUUAUGUGCUUCAUGCCAUGUCUGUUUUCCUGACAGGAUGGGACAGGUCACUGCAAUGCAUUUUUAAGGUGCUUGCCUUGUUAAGUUCCAGUGUCCAGAUCUCAUGGCUUCCUCCACUUCCCUCAAGGACUUGUUAACAAGUCUUAUAACAUUCAGCCUAAUUUUCACUUUUUAAACAUUCCCUUAAGUUGCCCAAGACACCAUCUUACAUAAUUCUGUCUAACACACUUGUGAUGUUGGCUAUAACACUAGGGAUGAAAUCAGCAGUAAGUGGAUAUACUGGUAAUUGACUGUUCCUUCAGUGCAUGCUUGGAGAUUCUCCUGAGAAGCUGCCCACAUGAUAUGUCAAACCCAAAAGCAGAGAAAAUGUUCUCUGGACAGGCACUGAAACUCUGAGAUGUUUGGGUUUUUU
Molecule: RNA transcript, 15790 nt
Organism: Motacilla alba alba
Lineage: Eukaryota; Metazoa; Chordata; Aves; Passeriformes; Motacillidae
Gene: ATXN1
Gene name: ataxin 1
Exons: 6
Source: RefSeq, a predicted model, not a curated record